AGGGUUUGAUCAUGGCUCAGAGUGAACGUUGGCGGCACGCCUAACACAUGCAAGUCGAGCGAAGUAGCUUGCUACUUAGCGGCGAACGGGUGAGUAAUGCUUGGAUAAUCUGCCUUUAGGACUGGGACAACUACAGGAAACUGUAGCUAAUACCGGAUAUGACCACAUUUACCAAGGUUUAUGUGGUAAAAGAUUUAUCGCCUUUAGAUGAGUCCAAGUCGCAUCAGGUUGUUGGUAGGGUAAUGGCCUACCAAGCCUAUGACGCGUAGCAGGUCUUAGCGGAUGAUCUGCCACAUGGGGACUGAGAUACGGCCCUGACUCCUACGGGAGGCAGCAGUGAGGAAUAUUGGGCAAUGGACGAAAGUCUGACCCAGCGAUGCCGCGUGAAGGAUGAAGGCCUUAGGGUUGUAAACUUCUGUCAGCAGGGAAGAUAAUGACGGUACCUGCAGAGGAAGCCCCGGCUAACUCCGUGCCAGCCGCCGCGGUAAUUC
RNAcentral lists this ribosomal RNA (491 nucleotides) under uncultured bacterium. Its description in RNAcentral is "bacterial SSU rRNA". It matches the Rfam family "Bacterial small subunit ribosomal RNA", at positions 8 to 526 of the family's 1533-position model. The record is from RNAcentral.